CUUAGUCAAUGCUUGGUUGUUCUGGUGCUUGCUUCCAUGCUCCUCGUGAUCCUGGUCCAUGUUCCUAAUCCUGGUUUGUGUUCCUGAUCUUGGUCCAUGUUCCUGGUUCCUAAUUUCCAGUUCCUGAUUCCCAGUAAUACUUCUUGGCUUCUGACCUUUGGCUUUGACCCUAACCACACUUCUUGUCUCUGACCCUUGGCUUCUG
Non-coding RNA from Pelobates cultripes (western spadefoot toad), 205 nucleotides. The record is from the annotation of a GenBank genome assembly. NCBI's taxonomy places the organism in Eukaryota, Metazoa, Chordata, Amphibia, Anura, Pelobatidae.